This 654-nucleotide ribosomal RNA is filed under the name Salmonella enterica. RNAcentral's name for it is "partial 23S ribosomal RNA". It matches the Rfam family "Bacterial large subunit ribosomal RNA", at positions 1 to 688 of the family's 2925-position model. RNAcentral also lists the same sequence under 1 other name. The record is from RNAcentral. Lineage: Bacteria; Pseudomonadati; Pseudomonadota; Gammaproteobacteria; Enterobacterales; Enterobacteriaceae.
GGGUUGUGAGGUUAAGCGACUAAGCGUACACGGUGGAUGCCCUGGCAGUCAGAGGCGAUGAAGGGCGUGCUAAUCUGCGAUAAGCGCCGGUAAGGUGAUAUGAACCGUUAUAACCGGCGAUACCCGAAUGGGGAAACCCAGUGUGAUUCGUCACACUAUCAUUAACUGAAUCCAUAGGUUAAUGAGGCGAACCGGGGGAACUGAAACAUCUAAGUACCCCGAGGAAAAGAAAUCAACCGAGAUUCCCCCAGUAGCGGCGAGCGAACGGGGAGGAGCCCAGAGCCUGAAUCAGCAUGUGUGUUAGUGGAAGCGUCUGGAAAGGCGCGCGAUACAGGGUGACAGCCCCGUACACAAAAGCGCAUGUGCUGUGAGCUCGAUGAGUAGGGCGGGACACGUGGUAUCCUGUCUGAAUAUGGGGGGACCAUCCUCCAAGGCUAAAUACUCCUGACUGACCGAUAGUGAACCAGUACCGUGAGGGAAAGGCGAAAAGAACCCCGGCGAGGGGAGUGAAAAAGAACCUGAAACCGUGUACGUACAAGCAGUGGGAGCACCCUUUUGGGUGUGACUGCGUACCUUUUGUAUAAUGGGUCAGCGACUUAUAUUCUGUAGCAAGGUUAACCGAAUAGGGGAGCCGGAGGGAAACCGAGUCUUAAU